Molecule: ribosomal RNA, 292 nt
Filed under: uncultured bacterium
Lineage: Bacteria
Description: partial 16S ribosomal RNA
Rfam family: Bacterial small subunit ribosomal RNA
Source: RNAcentral
GUGUCAGCCGCCGCGGUAAUACGGAGGGUGCAAGCGUUAUCCGGAAUCAUUGGGUUUAAAGGGUCCGCAGGCGGUCUUAUAAGUCAGUGGUGAAAGCCUACAGCUUAACUGUAGAACUGCCAUUGAUACUGUAAGACUUGAAUUCGGUCGAAGUGGGCGGAAUGUGACAUGUAGCGGUGAAAUGCUUAGAUAUGUCACAGAACACCGAUAGCGAAGGCAGCUCACUAGGCCUGGAUUGACGCUCAUGGACGAAAGCGUGGGGAGCAAACAGGAUUAGAUACCCCCGUAGUCC